This 301-nucleotide ribosomal RNA is filed under the name uncultured bacterium. Its description in RNAcentral is "partial 16S ribosomal RNA". It matches the Rfam family "Bacterial small subunit ribosomal RNA", at positions 509 to 807 of the family's 1533-position model. The record is from RNAcentral.
CAGUAGCCGCGGUAAUACGUAGGGGGCAAGCGUUAUCCGGAUUUACUGGGUGUAAAGGGAGCGUAGACGGAAUGGCAAGUCUGAAGUGAAAUGCCCGAGCUCAACCCGGGAACUGCUUUGGAAACUGUCGAUCUGGAGUGUUGGAGAGGUAAGUGGAAUUCCUGGUGUAGCGGUGAAAUGCGUAGAGAUCAGGAAGAACACCGGAGGCGAAGGCGGCUUACUGGACAAAGACUGACGUUGAGGCUCGAAAGCGUGGGAAGCAAACAGGAUUAGAUACCCCGGUAGUCCCUGUCUCUUAUAC